CCUACGGGAGGCAGCAGUGAGGAAUAUUGGUCAAUGGGCGGAAGCCUGAACCAGCCAAGUAGCGUGCGGGAUGAAGGCCCUACGGGUCGUAAACCGCUUUUGCACGGGGAUAACACCCUCCACUUGUGGAGGUCUGCAGGUACCGUGCGAAUAAGGGCCGGCUAAUUCCGUGCCAGCAGCCGCGGUAAUACGGAAGGCCCGAGCGUUAUCCGGAUUUAUUGGGUUUAAAGGGUGCGCAGGCGGAAGAUCAAGGCAGCGGUAAAAUUGAGAGGCUCAACCUCUUCGAGCCGGUGAAACUGGGUUUCUUUAGUGAGUGAGAAGUAUGCGGAAGGCGUGGUGGAGCGGUGAAAGGCAUAGAUAACACGCAGAAAUCCGAUUGCGAAGG
This 385-nucleotide ribosomal RNA is filed under the name uncultured bacterium. RNAcentral describes it as "partial 16S ribosomal RNA". It matches the Rfam family "Bacterial small subunit ribosomal RNA", at positions 338 to 721 of the family's 1533-position model. The record is from RNAcentral.